Molecule: ribosomal RNA, 209 nt
Filed under: uncultured bacterium
Lineage: Bacteria
Description: partial 16S ribosomal RNA
Rfam family: Bacterial small subunit ribosomal RNA
Source: RNAcentral
CUCGUAGGCGGCCCACUAAGUCAGAUGUGAAAUCCCCAGGCUCAACCUGGGAACUGCAUCUGAUACUGGUGGGCUUGAAUUCGGGAGAGGGAUGCAGAAUUCCAGGUGUAGCGGUGAAAUGCGUAGAUAUCUGGAGGAAUACCGGUGGCGAAGGCGGCAUCCUGGACCGACAUUGACGCUGAGGAGCGAAAGCGUAGGGGAGACGAAAC